GAUCAUGGCUCAGGACGAACGCUGGCGGCGUGCCUAAUACAUGCAAGUCGAGCGAACUUCAGGGAGCUUGCUCCCUGAAGUUAGCGGCGGACGGGUGAGUAACACGUGGGCAACCUGCCUGUAAGACGGGGAUAACUUCGGGAAACCGGAGCUAAUACCGGAUCAAUCUUAUCUACUCAUGUAGGUAAGCUAAAAGACGGCACUCGCUGUCGCUUACAGAUGGGCCCGCGGCGCAUUAG
RNAcentral lists this ribosomal RNA (239 nucleotides) under uncultured bacterium. RNAcentral's name for it is "partial 16S ribosomal RNA". It matches the Rfam family "Bacterial small subunit ribosomal RNA", at positions 15 to 244 of the family's 1533-position model. The record is from RNAcentral.